This 214-nucleotide long non-coding RNA is filed under the name Mytilus galloprovincialis (Mediterranean mussel). The record is from RNAcentral. Lineage: Eukaryota; Metazoa; Mollusca; Bivalvia; Mytilida; Mytilidae.
CUUUGAUAAGGCUGUUGUACCAAUUUUGUUAUAUGGAUCAGAGAUUUGGGGGUUUGAAAACUUUGACUUGUUAGAGCGAGUACACCUAAAAUUUUGUAAACUCAUUUUACAUUUGAAGCAAUCAACCCCAGACUGUAUAGUUUAUGCAGAACUAGGCAGAUUCCCAUUAUUUCUUUAUGCAAAAGUUCGUAUGAUAAAUUUUUGGGGCAGAAUU